GUGCCAGCCGCCGCGGUAAUACCGGCAGCCCGAGUGAUGGCCGAUCUUAUUGGGCCUAAAGCGUCCGUAGCUGGCUGCGCAAGUCCGUCGGGAAAUCCACUCGCCCAACGAGUGGGCGUCCGGCGGAACCUGUGUGGCUUGGGACCGGGAGGCCUGAGGGGUACGAUCGGGGUAGGAGUGAAAUCCUGUAAUCCCGCUCGGACCGCCGAUGGGGAAACCACCUCAGGAGAACGGAUCCGACAGUGAGGGACGAAAGCCAGGGUCUCGAACCGGAUUAGAUACCCCAGUAGUCC
RNAcentral lists this ribosomal RNA (293 nucleotides) under uncultured bacterium. RNAcentral describes it as "partial 16S ribosomal RNA". It matches the Rfam family "Archaeal small subunit ribosomal RNA", at positions 455 to 747 of the family's 1478-position model. The record is from RNAcentral.